Molecule: transfer RNA, 97 nt
Filed under: Streptomyces spongiicola
Lineage: Bacteria; Bacillati; Actinomycetota; Actinomycetes; Kitasatosporales; Streptomycetaceae
Description: tRNA-Leu
Source: RNAcentral
CCAUCCGCAGCUCGCGGCGCGAGUGGGGGUUGCCGAGGGCGAGCCGGUCGCGGUGGUCUCCCGCCGCGGUCGGGCGGUCGCACCGGCCCGGGUGAGC